RNAcentral lists this ribosomal RNA (1121 nucleotides) under Escherichia coli. RNAcentral describes it as "partial 23S ribosomal RNA". It matches the Rfam family "Bacterial large subunit ribosomal RNA", at positions 138 to 1297 of the family's 2925-position model. The record is from RNAcentral. Lineage: Bacteria; Pseudomonadati; Pseudomonadota; Gammaproteobacteria; Enterobacterales; Enterobacteriaceae.
AUUCGUCACACUAUCAUUAACUGAAUCCAUAGGUUAAUGAGGCGAACCGGGGGAACUGAAACAUCUAAGUACCCCGAGGAAAAGAAAUCAACCGAGAUUCCCCCAGUAGCGGCGAGCGAACGGGGAGGAGCCCAGAGCCUGAAUCAGUGUGUGUGUUAGUGGAAGCGUCUGGAAAGGCGCGCGAUACAGGGUGACAGCCCCGUACACAAAAAUGCACAUGCUGUGAGCUCGAUGAGUAGGGCGGGACACGUGGUAUCCUGUCUGAAUAUGGGGGGACCAUCCUCCAAGGCUAAAUACUCCUGACUGACCGAUAGUGAACCAGUACCGUGAGGGAAAGGCGAAAAGAACCCCGGCGAGGGGAGUGAAAAAGAACCUGAAACCGUGUACGUACAAGCAGUGGGAGCACGCUUAGGCGUGUGACUGCGUACCUUUUGUAUAAUGGGUCAGCGACUUAUAUUCUGUAGCAAGGUUAACCGAAUAGGGGAGCCGAAGGGAAACCGAGUCUUAACUGGGCGUUAAGUUGCAGGGUAUAGACCCGAAACCCGGUGAUCUAGCCAUGGGCAGGUUGAAGGUUGGGUAACACUAACUGGAGGACCGAACCGACUAAUGUUGAAAAAUUAGCGGAUGACUUGUGGCUGGGGGUGAAAGGCCAAUCAAACCGGGAGAUAGCUGGUUCUCCCCGAAAGCUAUUUAGGUAGCGCCUCGUGAAUUCAUCUCCGGGGGUAGAGCACUGUUUCGGCAAGGGGGUCAUCCCGACUUACCAACCCGAUGCAAACUGCGAAUACCGGAGAAUGUUAUCACGGGAGACACACGGCGGGUGCUAACGUCCGUCGUGAAGAGGGAAACAACCCAGACCGCCAGCUAAGGUCCCAAAGUCAUGGUUAAGUGGGAAACGAUGUGGGAAGGCCCAGACAGCCAGGAUGUUGGCUUAGAAGCAGCCAUCAUUUAAAGAAAGCGUAAUAGCUCACUGGUCGAGUCGGCCUGCGCGGAAGAUGUAACGGGGCUAAACCAUGCACCGAAGCUGCGGCAGCGACGCUUAUGCGUUGUUGGGUAGGGGAGCGUUCUGUAAGCCUGUGAAGGUGUGCUGUGAGGCAUGCUGGAGGUAUCAGAAGUGCGAAUGC